GUCCACAUACAAUGUUUCCACUACAAUUAUAUCAUCUGUAAUAGAAGAAAAACAAAAAACCACUUGAGUUCCUGUCUAUCUUCUUCUUGUUCUGCUGAAAGAACCAUUUCUGUGCACAUCUUUGAAUAGCAAAUAACACUUGCUGGAAGAUUUCAAAAAGAGGGGACAAUCCUUUUCCUUGCCGUGCUCCCGGUGUUAAAGAAGGCCUACAUUUCUCUUCUCCAAGGCAGUUUAUGAGUCAUCCCAUCCAGAGGAACCAGAUUGCUAAACUACAAAGAUAAGACCGGCCAAACCUUAAGACGUAAGCUCCAAAUUGAUGUGUCUGCUCUGCGCCUGCCAAGUGGAUUAUUGAAUAUAUGAGAGUGAAGCUAAGCCAGAGCUACUGAUCAGUGAAAUUGGGUGCAACUGAGCGGAAGAGCUGCACUGCUGAGAACUCUGGCAAAAGGCAACAUCCCUCCGAGUGUGCGGCUCUGCUGCGAACACACUACAUUACUCGGAUGCCUGGAUGCAGAAGGCUCAGGGGAAAGGUUAUUUUAGGAGCCUCAUGGAACUUCUGUAUGAUGCUGGGUCUAUUGCUCUCCAGUGAAAUAAGCCUAGAGCUUGGAAGAAGUGUGGCCUAACUAUGGAGCUCGACUUUGUUUGUCAAGACGUUCUAUUAAACCCCACUUUCUAGAAAAUAAAACCUUGAAGUAUUUUUUAUUUGCCUUUUGAGAACUAUCUAAUUUCACAGUAUUUAUAUUUAUAUUAUUUAAAACAACAUCAAGCAGACUCCAGAGGCAAAGCAAAGGUCACAAAUGUGUGCAUAGCCUCGAA
This 813-nucleotide long non-coding RNA is filed under the name Equus caballus (horse). RNAcentral describes it as "lncRNA (ENSECAG00000043690.2)". Lineage: Eukaryota; Metazoa; Chordata; Mammalia; Perissodactyla; Equidae. The record is from RNAcentral.